AUCGCUUCUCGGCCUUUUGGCUAAGAUCAAGUGUAGAAGAUCAGCAAAGAUUGCCAAUUUUCAUUCAUUUGUUCUUUUUUUUUUUUUAUAAAUCAUGAUUAAACCACACAGUGAGUAUCA
This 120-nucleotide small nuclear RNA is filed under the name Rattus norvegicus (Norway rat). Its description in RNAcentral is "U2 spliceosomal RNA (ENSRNOG00000062432.2)". It matches the Rfam family "U2 spliceosomal RNA". Rfam says of the family: U2 is a small nuclear RNA (snRNA) component of the spliceosome (involved in pre-mRNA splicing). Complementary binding between U2 snRNA (in an area lying towards the 5' end but 3' to hairpin I) and the branchpoint sequence (BPS) of the intron results the bulging out of an unpaired adenosine, on the BPS, which initiates a nucleophilic attack at the intronic 5' splice site, thus starting the first of two transesterification reactions that mediate splicing. Lineage: Eukaryota; Metazoa; Chordata; Mammalia; Rodentia; Muridae. The record is from Rfam by way of RNAcentral.